AUUGGAUAAAUAUUACUAUGUGUAAGCAACUGACCUAGACAAUACACUGUUCACAAAGCACUUAUGUAUGUAAAAGAAAAAUGUAUAAAACAAAUAUAAAUAAAAAAAAACCUAAUUAAGAUCAGAAUUAGCAGCCACUGAUCGUCUAGUUUCUCUACUCUUGCUUUAAAGCAAUCCAAAAUUGGUAAUGAUCCCAUAUCAUAGUUGCAUGCACUGUACUUUAUUCAUCCACUUAAGAUGAUAAAAAACCAAAACCACAUCUUGAUACUCUGGACAUAACUUGCACCAUGGAUUUAUGUUGAAACAGAGAGAGGGAACAAGCUGUAAAAACCCACAUGACUUUACCCCUUCUGUCUGUCUGUCUCUCUUUCUUUCUCGCCCAUCUUCUGGUUCAGGUGACUCUGAAUGGCCUUACAUCAAGAGAGAACAACAUAUAACAACUAUUAUAACUAUAAAAUGGAUUAAAAUUACAAAAAAUUAAAACUGGAAGGUGGGGUGCCUUCUUUGGUAGUGGACUUCCAAUGGAGUCUAGUUUUAAAGGAGCAAAAAGCACAGAAGCUUGUGCCAUUCCACCAGCACCCAGCAAUCUACUGGCUCUAGUAGAACCUUUUCCAAGAUCUGACUCCAGUUGCUGUGGAAGACCAAAGCAUUUUUUUUAGUGAAACAAGACAUAAUUGCUUUAUUUUAGAGACAAGAAAUGAGGAUUUUCUUCUUGUGGUGUGCCCUGAAAGCCCAGAGGGUGUUUUAAAACUCAGACAAAUUCCUCUGCUCUUCAGUGGUAGAAUAAUGUUUCUCUCUGUGUGUGUGUCUCUCUCUCCCCCACUUCUUUGAUCUUUUUAAAAAAAUAUUUUUAUUCUAUUUAUUUUUUAGUGGUUGGAUUUAUUUACUGUCUUUCCUUCAACUCAUCACCUUCCACACUUCCUGCCCUUGCAAAGAAAAAAAAAACCUGUGAGGUAGGUUGGGUUAAAAAGGAGAAGGAAAAUCCAGUCACCCAGUAACUUUCCAUGGCUGAGAAUGGAGAAGCCAGCCCAGCAUUUAACCAGCAUCUCAAUUAUCACACCAUAUAUCACUUCUUCUUUACAAGGAGUUAUUCUUAUAUGUUUUUUUUUACUUUACACUAUUAAAUGAAGGCAACUCUCACCUACAACUUUAUAGCUUAUAAAUUCAAGCAAAGGAAGUCUA
Molecule: long non-coding RNA, 1182 nt
Filed under: Notechis scutatus (mainland tiger snake)
Lineage: Eukaryota; Metazoa; Chordata; Lepidosauria; Squamata; Elapidae
Description: lncRNA (ENSNSUG00000012043.1)
Source: RNAcentral